This 688-nucleotide small RNA is filed under the name Pan troglodytes (chimpanzee). RNAcentral describes it as "processed transcript". The record is from RNAcentral. Lineage: Eukaryota; Metazoa; Chordata; Mammalia; Primates; Hominidae.
GGGACUCUCCGUGGAGCUCCCACGGACUGAAAGAGCGUGCCCCCCAACCCGAACGAGCCCCGCCGGGGCCUUUGCAAAGGGCAGCAGUGGCCGUCGCUGCCCGUGCGGCUCCCGUGGCUGGCAGCCUGUGGCAGGGGCACUCUCGGGACUUCUCACGGGACGCCUGGUCCUUGGGCGUGCAGGGGUCAUGGGGGGUGACGGGGCCGCGGGAGCGCCGGGUUUUCGUAGAGCCCAGGUGCGCGGUGGUGCUUGCAUUCGAGAGGGAGGGGCGUGGUGCCGGACGAGGGGGGCGGCGAUGGCCCCGAGGGCACCGGGGCUGACGGGACCCCUCGCCCUUGCCCGCGUGUAGGAUGGAUAAGGUGGGGGAUGCCCUGGAGGAAGUGCUCAGCAAAGCCCUGAGUCAGCGCACGAUCACUGUCGGGGUGUACGAAGCGGCCAAGCUGCUCAACGUCGACCCCGAUAACGUGGUGUUGUGCCUGCUGGCGGCGGACGAGGACGACGACAGAGAUGUGGCUCUGCAGAUCCACUUCACCCUGAUCCAGGCGUUUUGCUGCGAGAACGACAUCAACAUCCUGCGCGUCAGCAACCCGGGCCGGCUGGCGGAGCUCCUGCUCUUGGAGACCGACGCUGGCCCCGCGGCGAGCGAGGGCGCCGAGCAGCCCCCGGACCUGCACUGCGUGCUGGUGAC